RNAcentral lists this ribosomal RNA (253 nucleotides) under uncultured bacterium. RNAcentral's name for it is "partial 16S ribosomal RNA". It matches the Rfam family "Bacterial small subunit ribosomal RNA", at positions 524 to 776 of the family's 1533-position model. The record is from RNAcentral.
UACGGAGGGUGCAAGCGUUGUCCGGAUUUAUUGGGUUUAAAGGGUGCGUAGGUGGCCUUAUAAGUCAGUGGUGAAAGCCUGCAGCUUAACUGUAGGACUGCCAUUGAUACUGUAGGGCUUGAGUAUUGAUGAGGUAGGCGGAAUUGAUAGUGUAGCGGUGAAAUGCAUAGAUAUUAUCAAGAACACCGAUUGCGAAGGCAGCUUACUAAGGAAUAACUGACACUGAGGCACGAAAGCGUGGGGAUCAAACAGG